GGCAGUCGGGGGCUGGAGGCGGGGCCUGCGUGUAGGUCCGGUUAGACCGGGAUCGCCCCGCCCGGCGGGCGGGCCGCUGGAUUCUCUACCACCUGUGCCUCGUGGCUCUGUGGUGACCCCGUUGGCGACCUAAGCGAGGUCCCUGGCUGCUUGCGAGUCUCGGCUGGCUCACCGCCAUAUCGGGAAGGAUGGAAAGAAAAGCAGAGCUGGCGGGGUCAUCGUUGUCCCUUUUCCGGAGAGGAGCGCCGCUUUGAGGAAAAAGCGUCUCGCCUUGAAAUUACAAACGCAGAGCCCAGCGAGUGGGUCGUCGUGGGGCCAGCACCCGUCGGGGCUCCAGUUGUGUCCUGAGGCACUGGGGACUGCCUGGAACCCCUGGGCCCUUGUUUCAAGAGUUGGCAGUAAUCGGACAUAUUUAGGGACAAUACUUGUGAUUUCCGGGGCUCGGCAUCUGCUCUUGGAUCUUUACAAGGCCUGCUAGAUUUCAGACUCUCAAAGGUUUGGCCACUGCAGUCCCAUUCCCUAAGGUAAAGGAAGGGAGAUGAAUUAUUAGACACCGGGCCACUAGUGUAUUGGGGCUCACCUCUCUGGGGCCCUUGCCCUUGAGCAACUAAUCGUUUUAUUAAGAGGAAAAGACAUGAACGAAAAAGUCUUGCAGGGCUAUCCUGGUCACUGCUUCAUUCUCCUGGCUCCACUGAAAUUCCUGACGCGUCCCUGCUGCCGCUGCCUGGGACAGCAGAGGUGCUUCUCUGAACUGUCUGGGAUCAGGUCACUUGGAUUGUUCCCAGCUGUGGGCUAUUACAAGUGAAGCCACUGUGAACAUUCUGGACAAGUCUGUGGUCAUAUGUUUCAUGUCUCCUGAGUGAAUACGUACAGGGAGACUGGCUUGGAAUAAGGCAGUAGUGAAUGGGGCUGACCAGCGAGGAGGCUUUGACCAUCAUCCAGAUGUCCUUGUCCAACUGGGAAGUGGUUAUAAAUCAAGAUCUGACAAGGGAAAUCUCAGUAAUGACUCCUUUCAAAAGUGUAGGGGGCGACAGUGGGAGAUUUGGGAUUUGAAUCAUGACUCCUAGACUUCCCAGCUGGGUGACUUCAGCAGCGAGGCUAAAGUUUGUUUCACACUCAAAUGCCUACAAGAAGCGAAGCCACCAUACACAACACAUCCGAGAGCAUCUGUCCUAAAAAAUGGCAGCCAUUGCCAAUUCAAGCUACCGGCGCCCUGCAGGAAAGCAAAGCACUGUAUUUCAGCCAAAGAAAACAGUUCUGGGUCAGUGCCCAUCAAACACUGAAAGAUUGGCCUUAUCUUACGCACACUGAGACAGAACACAAGGACUACUGAGAUAUAGGUGCAUUUCUAAAGAAGAACUUCGGGAGACAGGAGCUAAAACUCUUGGCUCUCCAGGAACAAGUCACCUUUAAGAAGGUCAGGAAACAGAUGCUUAACUACAGAAAAAACUGAUGGUUGCCAGAGGGGAGGUGGGGGGGGUUGAAUAGGUGGCGGGGAUUAAGGAGGGCACUCUAGAUGGGCACCUGGUGUUGUGUCACUAAAUUCUACAUGUGAAACUAAUAUUAUACUGUAUAUCAUCUAACUGGAAUUUAAAUAAAAACUUGGAAAA
Suricata suricatta (meerkat) is the source of this 1610-nucleotide long non-coding RNA. RefSeq lists it as uncharacterized. The transcript is spliced from 10 exons. NCBI's taxonomy places the organism in Eukaryota, Metazoa, Chordata, Mammalia, Carnivora, Herpestidae. The record is from RefSeq and is a predicted model, not a curated record.